This is a long non-coding RNA of Cynoglossus semilaevis (tongue sole), 1655 nucleotides long. RefSeq lists it as uncharacterized. Lineage: Eukaryota; Metazoa; Chordata; Actinopteri; Pleuronectiformes; Cynoglossidae. The transcript has 8 exons. The record is from RefSeq and is a predicted model, not a curated record.
GCAGACUCCGGCACACGCACAUGGAAUAUACCUGAGAGGAUGGGACGUGGAUUCAGUGUUUUUAUCCUAACAAACAACAAAUCCAAUAUUUCUCUACAACUCCAUGGAGAACGUUGCUGCAUGUUCUCACCUGUCUUGGGGUCCACAGAAAAAUAGGGCUGUCCAUGAACAAUGCUGUAGACGACGCGAGCACUGUUACCGUAUGACGAAUCAUCUGCAUCUGUGGCUGUCACCUGUGUCACCCUUCACCACCACUGUUCCACAGCGUGAGUCUGUUUCUGUGCCCCAGCUGGAGGUCUGGAGGUCUCGGGCUUCUUUUCUGAGACAACACUGCCGCUCGUCAACAGAGCUGGGCGACUUGGUCAAGAGCUGCUGCCACAGACAAAGAACUGGUUCCAUACCCAUCCUCUUUUUGUGCGACGAGUCUUCGAUCUCCAGUGUCUCCUGAGCCUUGGUCCAUCCCCUAAUUUUGCCCUGGUGGACAUCCUCAUGUCUUUGGCGUUAUUUGCCCCCCUGCUUUCCAUCGUCGUACCCAUUUCUCUGCUGAGGGUAUUCGGGGAGCAGCCAUCCAGGAGGAAACAAAAGCCCACGAGAAGAAGAGCCAGCGGCCUGUCUCUCUGCCUGGGAUUAGGAAGGCGUGUGAAUCAAAGUGGGGAAAAGCGACGGAGAGCAAGAAGAAGAAAAAUGUUUGGAGAAGCUGAAGAAGGAAACACCCGUCACACCUCGGCUUCCUGUUUGAAGACCCAUGGUGCAGAUGUUGUGGCUGUGUUCCGUGCUGCCUGACCACUCACCGCUGCGUGCACAGAGACACUCACAGACAUGGAGAUGAUGCUGCCAGGGUUGUUCCAAAACUCUGACCCAGGUCAGAUUCCUGGAUGUUCUCUGACGUUCCUGGAUGUUCUCUGACGUUCCUGGAUGUUCUCUGACGUUCCUGGAUGUUCUCUGACGUUCCUGGAUGUUCCUGGUCAACAUGUUGCUCCUCUUAACAGUCCACAGAUUUUUCCACCACCAGAGUGAAGGCGUCUGGUCAAGCAGGACCAACAUUAUCAGAACCGUGGCCCAAAGAACCAGCUGCACGGACUCGCUCGCCCUCCUGGCAGUCGUUAGAGAGAAACCUAUCUGCACACAUUUUACAGUGCGGCGCCGCUCAGCGUCGUUCGAUGACACACCGUGUGACACCUGUCAUUCUCUGUUGCUCCGACUAUUUUCUGCUGUGGAGACAUUUUCCAAUCGCUUCAGGUUGUUACAGUUGUAUCAGUUCCACUGCAGUGAAAACAUCCGCACUGCUGACUCGCCACUUCAGCGAGUUCAAUGGCUAACUUUUAUGCAGUCAAAUGUUAUAUAUGUGACUAGAACUGUAAGGAAUUACAAACAGAUUUUUUAUAUUUAUUUAUAUACACUAUGUAUAAUAUCUGUGUGUGUAUGUAUAUAUCAAUAUAUUGUGAAUAUUUUAUGUAAAUAUUCAUAAAGUAAUACAUAAGAACUGACUGCUUUGGCAGUUUGGUGGCAGACUUUUCACCAACAGUCAGUGUCAGUUGCUCAGUAACUGUUGUAUGUUGAUACAGUGAUCGAUAGAAUCUGAAUGCUUCCCUGAUUGAAAUGUAUUUCUCUGGAAGUUUUUAUAUAAAUUUGAAAUAAAACACACAUCAGUGGUA